CAGCGUGGGGAGAAGUGUUAGCUGCUGUCAGGGAUGCCGUGGAAAAAUGAUGGAUUGGGCAGCUCCGGAGGGAGAGCUGCUGUUCUGGCAGUGAAAUGCCUCUUGGCUCGGCACACACACAACCUGGAGGUGCCUCACAGCCCGCACGGUGCCACCCCAGCUCCGGCUCUAGGAAUGCCAGGAGUUUUCCCUGGAAUUGGCCCAUCCAGACUCCCAGCAAGGAUCCCCCCGGGGAGAUUCACCUCGGAUGUGGAUUCUGUGAGUUCUGAGCAGCCACCCCAGCCGGGCUCUGCACCCGUCUUGGGCCAAAUCUUCUGCUUUUUGGCAAUAAAACCCCAAAAACUGAGCUGGUGAUUCCCUCUGGGGUGCCCCAGGGCUGAGCCAGGAUCUCAUUUUCUUCCUAAAGCAAGGUAAUUCCACGUUCUCCAUGGGCUCUGUUACAAAGCACAGGAGUGGGGUUAUUUUUUGUAUUUUUGGCAAUUAACAGCGGUCAUAAUAAUUUUUUCUGGUUAUUUGCAGGCAAACACCUGUCCUGUGUCAUAGGACAGCACUUCCCAACUGCAGGAAAUAGAUUUGUGGUGAACUUUUGGACUUUUACUUUGGAAAUAGUGAAC
This is a long non-coding RNA of Passer domesticus (house sparrow), 614 nucleotides long. RefSeq lists it as uncharacterized. The transcript is spliced from 3 exons. The record is from RefSeq and is a predicted model, not a curated record. NCBI's taxonomy places the organism in Eukaryota, Metazoa, Chordata, Aves, Passeriformes, Passeridae.